GUCCCUCCCUCAACUUCUCAAGAGCCAAUAAUACACCACCUUCACCUUGUAUUAGGUGGGUUUAUCGAGUUAUAGCCCAAUGAAUACAAGGUAAACCCAAACAUGAUUGAAAAAAACACGUUUUCACCAUGUAGAUUACAACCGAACCCUGAUACAAACUAAUGUUCUUAAAGGAACAGAUAACAAUAUAAUUUUAUACUAAAGAAAAAUAAAAUCCGUACCCAAACAUUAAAUAAAGUGGUUUUUAAUCACUGGGGUUUCACUCUCCCCGCUCUAAACUCUCAUGUCCUCAUGAGUCUAUAGGGAAACUCAAAAUCCUGUCUGCAUUGUGGCUAGAACAGCUAAAUUAUAAUUUGCUUUGGUACACUUAGCACACUGGGCCAGAGGAUGACACCAAAGUGUGUUACAACAGCUUUUCAUCUCAAGAGAGUUUCUAAGAUGUAUGACCAUGCCUUGGUAAACAAUCGACAAGGGUUUGUCUGAGGGCUGUCCAAGAUCAUCAUAACUAAGCUUAAUGACAGGUUUUAUUGUUCUCUUGGGACGACUGUCAGUAGAGGCUGUGUCCACAGCUGGAAUGUCACAGAUAGGGGUUUCUGUCUCCUGUGGCAACUCCUCUUCCUGAUUUCCCUCUGUUACACUGUCUUGACUUCGACCUCCAUCAGCCCUGUGUUCUGCUUCUUCAACUACAAGCUCAGGCAACAAUGUACACAGGGGCUUGUUCUGCAUUAUACAUCGUUCUGGUAUGUAGUAGCAAAUUUCAUCAUCACUAUCAGAAGUUGGUUCCCCUCUGUUCUGUUCAUUGGUGGGAGAUACCUUUUCUUUUAAUUGCUUUUCCCUUGCAGUUUGGGCUCUUGUUAUUUGUCGUCUCAUGUCUUCAACAGUACCACUAGGAGUAGAAAUUCUCACACUGUCUCCAAUUGGUAAUAGGUGAUCUCUAUGAAGAGUCCUCACUCGUCCGGUUCCAGUUUGCGGUCUCAAUUUGUAUACCGGUAAGUUCUUUAACUUUUCUGUCACAAUGUAAGGCACAGGAUUCCACCUGUCCUCUAAUUUGUGUUUCCCCGUUUGUGCCAGAUUUCUUAUGAAAACACGAUCUCCUUUACCAAGCAGUUGGAUUUUCACUUUUUUGUCAUAACGUUGUUUGUUUCGUUGAUGAUUUUUCAAGGAGGUCUCCUCCGCUAACUGGUAAGCUUUUUGUAGUUCACGUCGCAUUCCUUCCACAUACUGCAAAUAAGUUACUUCCUUAUCUCCAUCAGGUGACGUGCCAAAGCAAAGAUCCACAGGUAGACGUGCUUCCCGUCCGAAGAGGAGAUAAUAAGGUGAGUAGCCAGUCGCAUCAUUUUUAGAACAAUUAUAAGCGUGGACCAAUUGACUGAUAUGUUGGCUCCAUUUGACUUUCUUUGCUGGAUCAAGAGUCCCUAACAUCGAAAGAAGGGUGCGAUUAAACCGCUCUGGUUGCGGAUCACCCUGUGGGUGGUAAGGAGUCGUGCGGGACUUUCGGAUCCCCAAAAUCCCAAGGAGCUCCUUAAUGAGACGGCUUUCAAAGUCUCUUCCUUGAUCAGAAUGUAUCCGUGCAGGGAGCCCAUAGUGCACGAAGAAUUUUUCACAAAGAACCUUAGCAACCGUCACAGCUUUUUGAUCCUUUGUGGGGAAGGCUUGUGCAUACCGUGUAAAAUGAUCUGUUAUGACCAGGACAUUCGCAAUCCCUUUUGAAUCGGGUUCGAUAGAAAGGAAGUCGAUACAUACAAGGUCUAAAGUUCAACUGUCCGCUCAACCCCUAGAUGCCCAGCAUCAUCAUGCAAAGACUUCAUUACUUGAA
This is a long non-coding RNA of Cyprinus carpio carpio, 1816 nucleotides long. Lineage: Eukaryota; Metazoa; Chordata; Actinopteri; Cypriniformes; Cyprinidae. The record is from Ensembl.